UUUUUUUUUUUUCUUUUUAUAGCUGCACCUGUGGCAUAUGGAACUUCCCAUAUGAGUGAGCCACAUCUGCAACUUAACACCACAGCUUAUGGCAACGCCAGAUCCUUAACCCACUGAGAGGGGCCGGGGAUCAAACCUGCAUCAUCAUGGAGACAACAUCAGGUCUUUAACCUGCUGAGCCACAACAGGAACUCCAGAAAAUAUAUUCUUUAAUUUAUCUUCCUCCUUUAACUACAUCAUCAAUAUCCCCGCUAGGACAUUCCCCCUCCCCCAUUCAGUUCCUUCCCCUUCAGAUGAAAGGGGAAGGGGUCUCUUCCUUGAAUGGCACCACUAGCCAUGGAUGUGCCAUCUGAAGAAAGUGUCCAACGCCUCACUCUCUUGUCAGGCUCAUGUGUGAAUCCUUCAGCUGACUCUGCAAGGCGUCUUCCAUGUACAUUCCACGGACAGGAGGCAAUCUGGUAACAGCCUGACCUCUUUGCUGGCCUGCUCUCAACAGGGUGGUAUAUCUCAAAGCCCUUCUUGUGGGGAUGCCCCUCAUACUCUCUGGAGCCUGGGGAAGAUAGUUCUUGGUACCUAUGCAACCAAUGAGAAAUUCAUAUGUCCUUCCCUGCUGUGCCAAGUGGUGGGAACGGCUACCUUCCCUCCACCUCCUCUCAGCCCUGCUAUUUUACUCCACUUCUCCUUUUCCCUGAUGAGAUGAGCACAGCGAUGUACCACGCCCUUUACCAAAUCUAGCAUCUAUCCUCAAGUGAGUUUCCCAUUCUUCUGAGGUAUUUUCUCAGGUCCUCCACAUCUCACCUUGAGAAGCUAGAGCACCUUCCUUCCACUUAGCAUCAUUCUCUCCCUACUAUCAGCACUGCACUCACAGGGGCUACACUCUGUGUGCCUGCAAAGCUCCCCCUUCCUUCAUCCCAUCUUCUUUUAUAGACAGGAACUGGGGACCAAAGGGCUAGGGUAAUGACUGGAGGUAGCAAGGUUCUGCCUCUUAGCCCAGAGUGAAGUGUGGGGCUCCUGAUUACAGUGGCUCUCUUAAGAACAGAGGUUUAACCUCUCUGUCCCUAGCUUUGAGAUCUAGUCUCUAUAUCCCAGGCAAAAAAAAAAAAAAGGCCACUGAAUAUCCUGCCACAUGUAGAAACAUGAUUCAAGGCUUGAGGGAGCAAAGGGCUGCCUUUUCCAUGACCUCUGGAAUAUAUCCAAUAAAGACUAAAAAUCUAUAGGAUAUGACAAGAUAAUCAAAACCAAAUACAGACUCUGACCUGAUGAUCUUUAUGUGGGGGCAAGGGGGGGGCAGUUACAACCUUGUUUAUACAGAGCCUGAGAUCUAGAGAAUAAAUUUCUCUUGUUCAAGUUUGGGUCCUUUAUUAAAGUAGGAUCACUGGGCAGUGUAGAUACAAGGAGGCUUCAUUUCACUGAUCUUGGUUAACAUUAAGAGAGACUUUUCUUGGCCACGUGAUAUAACCAAUUACAAGUCAUUCCUUCUAAUGGCAAUAUAACCUCCUCUCCAAUAUAAGAAGACUAAAUGUGUCUUAAUGUAUAUGCUGGGCUCCUCCUGUUGAGGUGUUCAAGGAUUUGUUUUUAGAUAUCCUGAGAGUCUUUCAAAAUUUUUAUUUUCUAUGACCCCAUUCCUUGACAUUAUAAUCUUAGGAUGCCUUAGAAUUCUUUUGUAGACCAUGCCUAACUGGUACACUUCAGCAUGACCCUGAGCUAGGCCUUAGUACAGACCUAUAGCAGUUGUUAAUGUAUCAUUUGCUUUUGAUCCCAAGGUAAAAACAUUCAUUAACCUAUAUGGGUUCUUGAUACAAAAUCCUAGUAAUAUUCCCUAAGGUUCUUUAUUAUAAUGUCUGAAGAAUCAGCAUGGAUAGGAAGUGGCUCUUGAGACUUAACAUUCAGGUCCUAUAAAUGAUGGAAAACAAGGGGUAAGAUGUAGAUCUUUAAGCAACUUUCUAAGCUUUUAGAAAGGGUUCCCACUGUGGCACAACAGGAUGGGCGAAGUCUUGGGAGUGGGGUGUGGAUUUGAUCCCCGGCCUGGCACAGUGGAUUAAGGAUCAGGUGUUGCCACAGCUGCGACUUUGGUCAUAAAUGCACCUCGGAUCUGAUCUCUGGCCUGGGAAGUCUAUAUGGCAUGGGGUGGCCGAAAAUGAAGAAAAAUAAAUAAAUGAAUUAAUUAAUUAAUUAAUUUACAAAAGAGGUUUUAAAACCAGGUUCUGUAGAGCCCUGGCAAGUGCACAGAGGUAUAACAGGAACCUUCAGGAUGGUGGCUCUCCCCUCUCUCUUUCUUAGUUAUUCACUGUCAACCAGAUUUCAUCAGCUUUGUAUAUUAGGCUUAAGAUUUUGUAUGGGGGAAAAAUGGUUUUGGUACCCCCCAAUAAACAUUUUCUACAUGAAUUUCUUUAGAUCAACCGUAUACAUAUUCUCUCGCCUUAUCAAAUAAUAAUAAAAACUGCUUAAAGGAGACCUACUUGAUGAAGCGUUCUUCACUCUAGAAAGGAGGACCACCAGAACCAGGCCCCCAGGCCACAAAACAAACACCUGCUUGGAAGAAGGAUGCAAGUUUGCCUCUCCCCUGAUCCUUAUCUGUGGCCCUAUUUUCCACUCCCAAACUACAAGACCACCUCCUAUUCUCUUACAAAGGAGGGCAGUCUUUAGGGCAUUAGCCUGCUGUGACCUCCUUUGCCCAGCAAAGCAAUAAAAGCUAUUUUUGAAACAAACAAACAAAACUGCCUGAAGGAGCAACUGAACUUGUUUAUCAAUUACUAUCAUAAAAAACAGUGUGUUAAUCAUUAUGCCAAAAUGCAGUCAUUUCUGCGGGCUAUCCUCUUCAGUUUUCAGCCAUACCAGUAACUUCCUUCAACUCUUCCUCAGCCACAGAAAUGUCUUCACAGAACUACACUUAGAACUAUACUUUAACAGCAUACCUUCCAUGGAUGGAACUGGAGACUCUCAUACUAAAUGAAGUAAGUCAGAAGGAGAAAGACAAAUACCAUACGAUAUCACUUAUAUCUGGAAUCUAAUAUAUGGCACAAAUGAACCUUUCCACAGAAAAGAAACUCAUGAACUUAGAGAAGAGACUUGUUGCCAAGGAGGAGGAGGAGGGAGUGCAAUGGACUGGGAGUCUGAGGUUAAUAGAUGCAAACUAUUGCAUUUGCAGUGGAUAAGCAAUGAGAUCCUGCUGUAUAGCACAGGACUGGAUACCCGGUCACUGGUAAUAGAACAUGAUGGAGGACAAUGCGAGAAAAAGAAUGUGUGUGUGUGUAUAUAUAUAUGUAUGUAUGACUGGGUCACUUUGCUGUAUGAUAGAAAUUGAUAGAACUCUGUAAAUCAACCAUAAUGGAAAAAGCAAAAAUAAAAAUAAAUAUAUCAUAUCUUGGCCUUUAUCAGGGACUCUGUCAUGUCCCUUACAUAUAGCUAUAUGGCAAGAAUUCCCCUUAGCGCUAAAGGCUAGAAAAAUCUUCUAUGUUUCUUUGUCUAAGACAUCAAAGAAUUUUCACUUUAGAUUUGGCUUUAGCUGCCAAUAAACUGAAAGUUAAAUGUAAUGUUUAAAGGCACGGUAUCAGGGGAGAGGACUUAUAUUCAAGAUGCUGUGCUUUCUGACCUAAUUAGCAAUUAUCACCCGCCUCCUGAAUGAUCUCACAAACUGAACCUCUCUUCCAAUCCAACCUACAAUCAGAUAAAUUUUUCUAACAAGUCUUUUCUGAUCACAUCACUCGCCUAUUCAAAAGUAUUAACUGGGAGUUUCCAUUGUGGCUCAGUGUUUAACGAAUCCAACAAGGAACCAUGAGGUUGUGGGUUAGAUCCCUGGCCUUGCUCCAUGGGUUAAGGAUCUGGCGUUGCUGUGAGCUGUGGUGUAGGUCGAAGACACGAAUCAGACCCCAAAUUGCUGUGGCUCCGGCUUAGGCUGACGGCUACAGCCCUGAUUAGACCCCUAGCCUGGGAACCUUUAUAUGCCGUGGGUGCAGCCCUAGGAAAGACCAAAAUACAAACAAAAAAAAAGUAUUAACUGCCACACCACAUUUGCCCCUAAAAUAUAAUCAACAAAACAGUAGCAAGUCAGAGGUAGUCUUAGUGCAAAGAAUAUGGAACCUGCUUAAAUGAUUCAUUCCUCCUAUCCAUGGAUGGGAAUAGGCAACCCAUUUCAGGACUAAAACAGGCAAAUCCAGAUGCCUAAAGCCUUGUCACAAAAAAGAAAAAAAGAAAAAAAAAAAAAAACAGAUACAUGUAUACUUGCACCUAAAAUUCAACUUUUUAUCCAUUUGGGAUCUUAUAAUCACCAUGUAAGUUAUUGACUUUAUUUCCCAGUUUUGCUCACAUUCAAAUCAUCACCAUCACCAAAGGGGGAGGGGAAAAUGAUUUUGCAGCUUCAAAUUUAGUUGUUGUUGUUUUUUUUUUAUUUCCCCAAUACAUUUUUUUUUUCUACUGUAUAGCAUGGUGACCCAGUUACACAUACAUAUAUACAUUCUAUUUUCUCACAUUAUCAUGCUCCAUCAUAAGUGACUAGACAUAGUUCCCAGUGCCACAGAGCAAGAUCUCAUUGCUAAUCUAUUCCAGGAUCUCACUGCUAAUCCAUUCCAAAGACAACGGUCUGCGCCUAGUUUUAAAUGUGCUCCAAAUCUGGCUCCUGGAGCCAGAGGGGCUCUAAGAGGCCCCUUGAGACACAGACUGGUUUCUUUGCUUUUGGCAGGAAAGGUAUUCUUUUUACCCUUUACAAAUUCAACAACUUUAGCAAACCAGGGUUCAAGGUCAUCCAGCCAGUCAGUACCUACCUUGCUGAUUUCAGCUUCCUUUUUUGAUGCUUCCAUGAAGAAGAAUGCCAACCCAUGAGCCAACACUGAAAACGAUCCAUGGUGACUGUCCACUGUCCAUGAGUGCAUUCCUCUUGGAGAUUAGCCCUUAGUUGAACCUCUCCACAGAGAAAGAUCAUGUUCCUAGAUUUUGUUACUUGCAGAGAAGCCCAAGACAUGCUCUCUAUAUAGGUUUCCUCUACUUUAAAUGCAGAAGACUGCCCAGAAUGACAAUAUAUAUAUGGCCCACUUGCACUGUCUGAUUUGUGUACAUUUAUAUGUGUGUAUAUAUAGUGUCUUAUAGGAAAGACCUGUAGUUUCUGUCAUGGCUCAGCAUAAAUGAAUCUGACCAGAAUCCAUGAGGACACAGGUUUGAUCCCUGGCCUUGCUCGGUGGGUUAAGGAUCUGGCAUUGCCAUGAACUGUGGUGUAAGUCGCAGAUGUAGCUCAGAUCCCGAGUUGCUAUGGCUGUGAUGUAGGCCAGCAGCUAUAGCUCUGAUUCAGCCCCUAGCCUGGGAACCUCCAUGUGCCACUGGUGCAGCCCUAAAAAGACAAAAGACCAAAUAAAUAAAUAAAUAAAAAGAACUGGUACUUUAUAAGAUUUUAGUAGCAAUUUCAUAACACAAUUAUAUAUUAUCAUUGAGAAGAAAAUCCUUUAGCCAGUUUACUCUGAUUUCCACUGUCAUUUCUCC
RNAcentral lists this long non-coding RNA (5469 nucleotides) under Sus scrofa (pig). RNAcentral's name for it is "lncRNA (ENSSSCG00060045862.1)". Lineage: Eukaryota; Metazoa; Chordata; Mammalia; Artiodactyla; Suidae. The record is from RNAcentral.